ACUUGGCCAUGAAGGUCUUUGAAGGUGGGGAAGGGGUGAAGAUGGUGAGGGGAUUCCAUGGCUGGGAGAGGUACACUCCCUACACGUUCUAACCAACUGGCCGUGGGGAGGAAGCUGGAGGUCAGGACACAGCCAAAUGGGGGAUCUCAGAAGUCUUAAUGAAGUAACUAUCCCUGAACACUGGGAUCAAUACUCAGCAUCCAGCUGUCAAAUCAACACCAAGGUCUAUACCUAACUGGAGACACUGAGAAGAAGAAUCAGGGAUGAAUGCAAGAAG
RNAcentral lists this long non-coding RNA (277 nucleotides) under Pan troglodytes (chimpanzee). RNAcentral's name for it is "lincRNA". The record is from RNAcentral. Lineage: Eukaryota; Metazoa; Chordata; Mammalia; Primates; Hominidae.